GGUUGACCUCGGAUCAGGUAGGGAUACCGC
Molecule: ribosomal RNA, 30 nt
Filed under: fungal endophyte sp. AP452
Lineage: Eukaryota; Fungi
Also listed under: 1 other name
Description: partial 28S ribosomal RNA
Source: RNAcentral